Molecule: transfer RNA, 73 nt
Filed under: Ailuropoda melanoleuca (giant panda)
Lineage: Eukaryota; Metazoa; Chordata; Mammalia; Carnivora; Ursidae
Rfam family: tRNA
About the family: Transfer RNA (tRNA) molecules are approximately 80 nucleotides in length. Their secondary structure includes four short double-helical elements and three loops (D, anti-codon, and T loops).
Source: Rfam by way of RNAcentral
GUCUGGCUGGCUCUGUUGGUAGAGCAGGUGACUCUUGAUCUCAAGGUCUUGAGUUCGAGCCCCAUGUUGGAUG